ACGCGCGCUACACUGAUGAAGUCAGCGAGUUCACUCCUUGGCCGAGAGGUCUGGGUAAUCUUGUGAAACUUCAUCGUGCUGGGGAUAGACCAUUGUAAUUAUUGGUCUUCAACGAGGAAUUCCUAGUAAGCGCGAGUCAUCAGCUCGCGUUGAUUACGUCCCUGCCCUUUGUACACACCGCAAAAAAAAGAAAUAUCCCCCUCAUAAGAUUUUUGUCUACUACAUUGGAAUAUUGCUGGUGAUCCUUUCCAUCCUUGUGGAAGUACAUUGUACUGAUAUCUAAUCCCUGGUGUCUCAUUGUUUAUACUAGGUAUGGUGAAUGCUGAGUAUUUUCU
This 335-nucleotide ribosomal RNA is filed under the name uncultured aquatic eukaryote. RNAcentral describes it as "partial small subunit ribosomal RNA". The stretch from base 1 to 248 matches the Rfam family "Eukaryotic small subunit ribosomal RNA", at positions 1491 to 1831 of the family's 1831-position model. The record is from RNAcentral.